This is a long non-coding RNA of Myripristis murdjan (pinecone soldierfish), 444 nucleotides long. RefSeq lists it as uncharacterized. The record is from RefSeq and is a predicted model, not a curated record. NCBI's taxonomy places the organism in Eukaryota, Metazoa, Chordata, Actinopteri, Holocentriformes, Holocentridae. The transcript has 3 exons.
CGCAGGCGAUAUAAACCUCCUCCUUCCUCGGUGGUCGCUUUCCUGGACCCCCCUAAGCUUGUGUCGUGUCUCACUCGUUUUGUUUUUAUAGGCCUAGUUCAUUUAAAUCCUUACAGCUAGCUUGCCCAAUUAUGGCCAGUGCUGCUGCAGCCUUUACAACAGGUGAUGCUGGUAAACAUUUUGAUGUCGGUGCAGAGUGAAAGUGUGCCAUGUCAGGAGCGUCCAAACCACUAUUGUCUCCCUGAGUUAUUGAAGAAACAAUCAGCUCCUGUUCGAGGCAGAGAAAUGAGGAGGAAAUCUAUAGCUAUGUGAAAGAGGCGCUCAGACGGUUCCUUCAAAGACUGAAUAGCCCGACAGGCUGGACGGCUAGACAACAACUUUCAACUUGACCUUGGCCUCCAGCCGCGUCUACCUCCUAUGUAAAAAACCGCACGCACUGCCAAG